GAAAUUGAUCUGGUUUUGAAACUUUAAUUAAAAUAAAAAAAAAGAAACUGAUGAUCCUCUUCUGAGCUCACUGUCACCACCGUCAUUCCUCCCUCGCCGUGUCUCCAUUGAAACCCUGCCAUGAGAAACCUA
Arachis ipaensis is the source of this 132-nucleotide non-coding RNA. NCBI's taxonomy places the organism in Eukaryota, Viridiplantae, Streptophyta, Magnoliopsida, Fabales, Fabaceae. The record is from RefSeq and is a predicted model, not a curated record.